GUUAAUGGGUGAUAGCGUGCCUUUUGUAGAAUGAACCGGCGAGUUACGAUUUGUUGCAAGGUUAAGCGGAAAAAGCGGAGCCGUAGCGAAAGCGAGUCUGAAUAGGGCGCAUAAGUAACAGGUCGUAGACCCGAAACCAGGUGAUCUACCCAUGUCCAGGAUGAAGGUAAGGUAAUACUUACUGGAGGUCCGAACCCACGCACGUUGAAAAGUGCGGGGAUGAGGUGUGGGUAGCGGAGAAAUUCCAAUCGAACUUGGAGAUAGCUGGUUCUCUCCGAAAUAGCUUUAGGGCUAGCCUCGAGGUAAAGAGUCAUGGAGGUAGAGCACUGUUUGGACUAGGGGCCCUUCUCGGGUUACCGAAUUCAGAUAAACUCCGAAUGCCAUGUACUUAUACUCGGGAGUCAGACUGCGAGUGAUAAGAUCCGUAGUCGAAAGGGAAACAGCCCAGACCACCAGUUAAGGUCCCCAAAUAUAUGUUAAGUGGAAAAGGAUGUGGGGUUGCUUAGACAACCAGGAUGUUGGCUUAGAAGCAGCCACCAUUGAAAGAGUGCGUAAUAGCUCACUGGUCGAGUGACCCCGCGCCGAAAAUGUACCGGGGCUAAACAUAUUACCGAAACUGUGGAUGAACCUCUUCGGAGGUUCGUGGUAGGAGAGCGU
Molecule: ribosomal RNA, 657 nt
Filed under: Listeria monocytogenes
Lineage: Bacteria; Bacillati; Bacillota; Bacilli; Caryophanales; Listeriaceae
Description: partial 23S ribosomal RNA
Rfam family: Bacterial large subunit ribosomal RNA
Source: RNAcentral